RNAcentral lists this long non-coding RNA (1173 nucleotides) under Mus musculus (house mouse). RNAcentral describes it as "RIKEN cDNA 1810010K12 gene". The record is from RNAcentral. Lineage: Eukaryota; Metazoa; Chordata; Mammalia; Rodentia; Muridae.
ACUAUACCAAAAGUCGGGGUUCGGGUGCGGUCUGUCCGCCCAGGAGGCAGGAAGCAGCUGCCCGGCACCAGCUCUCCACCAUUUUUCUACCUUUGCGCAUGGAAAUCUCCAAAAAGGGAUCCAAGAAGCGGCGAGUUGAAUUGGGGGUCAUCGGCCUGGAAGAAGCCGGGAAUCGGAGCCCAAGACUUCUUCUAAGGAGGCCCCAGGUGUAGAAUGUGCCUAAUAGCCAUGGCUUGUGCGUGCUCCCCGAUGGUGAAGGUCUGACAAGGACAGCUGGCUAGUUUUCAGUGUGAAAACACCCCCUCCGUGGACCAAACACAACGACACUGACCUUUCUGCAGGGGAACCAGAGAUGUGCCUUUGACUGAAUUAGCCACAAAGACGUCUUGCUAUGACUUUUGUUCACCACGAAAGCAAAGAAAUAUUGUGUCUAAUAUGAAAAAUACUGUUCACAGCUUUUCUGUGCCCCUAAAGAAGUAUUACAGUGCUGAUUUACUGGCCCCGUUCUCUAGAAAUGGCUGGACACAAGGCGGGGUGGAGGGGUGGGAUGUGGGAAUGGGACAAGGAGGAGGAGUUGGUAAGUUAAAUUGCCUGCUGCUGUUUCCAAGUUCUCUCUGUGCAGCAGCAAAUUUAUCAAUCUUUUCACCUGACAAUACUUUGAAAUAUAUCAUUGUCAUCCCAAGUUGUUUGAUAGAUUAACUGUAGGAACACAGCCUUUUCCAAGGUCAAGUUGAAGAUUCUUGUUUGCUGUUUAACUAAGUUGUUUAAAAACUCAGAACAAUGCCUGCCUGUUAAAUUUCCACUUGUUCUCAUGGGAUAUUGGAAAGCAAAGUUUCCUGUUGACUGAGUGUGUGGACACGUCAUCUUUUUGAGUUAAAUUCAGCAAACGGGAUUAGCAAUGAGAUCAACCCCUUGCAGACACAGAGGAAAUUAAAGCCCUCUCUUAUCCUUUCAAUCUGUGUACUAAUGUUUAUGUGUGUCAGGGGCUGGUUACAGCCACACAUAUCACGUUCAGCUUUCUAAUUUUACCCCAGUGGGAAGGUACAAAUGUGCUCUUCUAAAGCAGGAAGGCACAGAAAUUGUGGCCACUCCUGUGGGGUUUUGUUGAUUGUUUAACAGAGCAUAACCUGUUGCCUUAAAGCUUCAGUAAAAAUAAAGCCAAUUCAAAACCAC